Molecule: ribosomal RNA, 212 nt
Filed under: uncultured bacterium
Lineage: Bacteria
Description: partial 16S ribosomal RNA
Rfam family: Bacterial small subunit ribosomal RNA
Source: RNAcentral
GCCGUUCUCAGUUCGGAUCGGAGUCUGCAACCCGACUCCGUGAAGCUGGAUUCGCUAGUAACCGCGCAUCAGCCAUGGCGCGGUGAAUACGUUCCCGGGCCUUGUACACACCGCCCGUCAAGCCAUGGGAGCCGGGGGUGCUUGAAGUGCGUCGCCGCAAGGCGCGCCCUAGAGCAAAACCGGUGACUGGGGCUAAGUCGUAACAAGGUAAC